CUACGGGGGGCAGCAGUGGGGAAUAUUGGACAAUGGGCGAAAGCCUGAUCCAGCAAUGCCGCGUGUGUGAUGAAGGCCUGUGGGUUGUAAAGCACUUUCGAUAAGGAAGAAAUGCUCAAAGCUAAUACCUUUGAGAACUGACAUUACUUAUAGAAGAAGCACCGGCUAACUCUGUGCCAGCAGCCGCGGUAAUACAGAGGGUGCAAGCGUUAAUCGGAAUUAUUGGGCGUAAAGGGCGUGUAGGCGAAUAUUUAAGUUGAUCGUGAAAUCCCUGGGCUUAACCUAGGAACUGCGGUCAAUACUGGGUAUUUGGAAUAUGGUAGAGGAAAGUGGAAUUCUCGGUGUAGCGGUGAAAUGCGUAGAUAUCGAGAGGAACACCAGUGGCGAAGGCGGCUUUCUGGACCAAUAUUGACGCUGAGGCGCGAAAGCGUGGGGAGCAAACAGGAUUAGAUACCCCCGUAGUC
Molecule: ribosomal RNA, 464 nt
Filed under: uncultured bacterium
Lineage: Bacteria
Description: partial 16S ribosomal RNA
Rfam family: Bacterial small subunit ribosomal RNA
Source: RNAcentral